AUGGCAGAGCUGGGCGGCAUGCUUGCCGCUGCCAUCAUCAAGGUGGUGGCCGAGCAGAUUGGCUCUGCGAUCGGAAGUCAGAUCGUACUGCAGAAGAACUUCAAUGAGGACCUCAAGAAGAUGAAGAUGGCACUGGAGAGCGUUGAUGCCGUGCUCGAGGACGCUGAGAGGCGGUCAAUAACGGAUAAGGUGACGCGUCUGUGGCUGAAGCGGCUUAAGAACUUCAUGUAUGAGAUCUCCGACAUGAUAGAUGAGUUUGAAGCAGACACACAAGCCAUCGCCCGGCCGUCACCGCAGAAAUUUUCCUUCAAAAAAUAUUUGGCAAUAAUUAUGAUCCCUUGUCUCACAAUUGGUCCCAAGAUUACAAUGGCCAAUAAGAUGAAUAAGAUGAGGAAGGGUCUGGAGGUGAUAACAGGUCAGCACAAGGAAUUCAAAUUAACUGAAUGCACUAAUGCCAAUGAGCAAACAGUUACUGAUGUACAGGAAACAUCGUCAAAAUUGGAGAGACACAUCGUUGGGAGGACCAAGGAGAAAGAUAAAAUAUUGGCUUAUUUAUCUGAAAGCAUGAUAAACGAGAUCACUGUCCUUCCAAUAUAUGGCAUUGGAGGCCUUGGCAAGACAACCUUGGCAAAAAUGGUUUACAAUAGUCCCCAAUUCAAAGAAUACUCUCAAGUUUGGGUUUAUGUGUCCCAGACAUUUGAUUUGAAGAAAAUUGGUAACUCUAUAAUAUCACAGCUAUCAGAGAAAAAUAGGGAGAUUGCGUACACUGAAAAGCAGAUGAUAGACAAUUACCUUCAAAAGCUCCUUGCCAAUAAGAAUAUUCUGAUUGUUUUAGAUGACUUGUGGGAAAACAAUAAAUCUCAUUUGGAAGAGUUGUUGGGUAUGUUAAAGGUUGGGGAGAGCGGAAAGGUGGUUGUUGUAGUAACCACACGCUAUGAAGACAUUGCAAAGAAAAUUUGUACUAUUCAACCUCACAAAUUAGCACCACUAAAAGAUGACGAGUGCUGGACUAUCAUAAAGCAAAAGAGUGACUUUGAAUCGAGAUAUGACCAACAAGAGUUGCGGCACAUAGGGAAGGACAUUGCAAGUAAGUGUCGAGGUGUGGCUUUAGCGGCCCAAUCACUUGGACACAUGCUGCAUUCUCUCCCGUUUGACGAAUGGGAGUCGGUGAGAAACAGUGAUUUCUGGAAUUUAUCUGAUUCAGAAGAUACAAGUUUGACACAUGUGCUUCCAUCAUUGAAGUUAAGCUACAGUGUUAUGCCAUCGUAUUUGAAGAUAUGUUUUGCCUACUGUGCGAUUUUUCCAAAAGGUUACAAGAUAGUUAAAGAUGAUCUGAUUCAUCAGUGGAUUUCAAUGGGAUUCAUCAAGGCAGAGAGCAAGUCAUCCACUUGGCAGCUUGGAGAGAAAUGCAUUAGGCAGCUUCUUGGGCUCUCCUUCCUUGAACAUUCAAAGUCAGCACUGACUAUAGGAGUGAAUUUCGAAAAUGAUACAUUGUUCACUAUGCAUGAUUUGGUGCACGAUCUAGCAAGAUUGGUCAUGGCCGACGAAAUACUUGUCUCUAGCAAACAAGGCAACACUAGGGGAAGCUGCUGCCACUUCGCAUUGCUCAAUGAUUGUCGCAAGCCAUUGGAGUCAUCCAAGAUAAGAGCACUCCGUUUUCUAGGUUGUGAAGAAUAUAAACUCCAUGAUGCCGCAUUUUCCUCCGCUAUAUCCUUGCGUGUCUUGGACUUAAGUGAGUGCACUAUACAUAAUUUGGCAUACUGUAUUGGUGAACUGAAGCAACUGAGAUAUCUUAAUGCUCCAAGAAUCCAAGAUGCAAAGAUUCCGGACAGUAUCACCAAGCUCUCAAAAUUAAUUUACCUAAACCUUCAUGGAUCUCCUACAAUGUUAGCACUACCAGAGUCAAUUGGAGAAAUUGAGGGUCUACUGUAUCUUGAUUUGUCAGGUUGUUCUGGAAUUGCAAAACUGCCAGAAUCAUUCAGAAGGCUACAAGAAUUGGUGCAUCUGGAUAUGUCAAAUUGCUCCUCUGUUGGAGGUAUAUCGGUGUUCUUGGAGAGCCUCACACAACUAGAGUAUUUGAACUUAUCAUGCUGCCAAAAUAUUGGAGACAUACCGAAAGCUCUGGGAGGCCUAUACAAACUGCAGUAUUUGAACUUAUCAAACAGCUCCUAUCUUCAAUGUUGUCAAGAAGCAGAAUUUUUGGGUGCCCUCACCAAGCUCGUGUAUUUGAACUUAUCUUCGUGGUAUUGUGAACUUCAAAAGCUCCCUGAAGCUUUGGGCAGAUUCACUCAACUCAAGUACUUAAACUUAUCAGGUUGGCGAGAUUUGACGAAAUUGCCAAGAUUAUUUGGGAGUCUAAAACAUUUGGUGCAUCUUGAUUUAUCACAUUGUUCCAUGAUUGAUCGUCUACAUGAAGCUUUAGUUGGUCUUAUCAAUCUUAAAUACUUGAAUUUAGAAUAUACACGCCUCAAUUUGCUGCCAGAUGAUCUGACCAAACUCCGGUAUUUAAAUCUAUCCAAUCUAAGAAACAUGCAGGAAGAUGCCUUUGACAGUCUCAUCAACCAUAUAUGCAGUAAUCUUUCCGAUCUAGAGUAUUUGGACUUGUCUGCUAAUUAUGAUAUUAAAAGAAUACCUGAAAGUAUUUGUAGCCUCACAAAGUUGCAUACAUUGGACCUCUCGAGAUGCAAUUUGAAGAAGGUACCAGAAAGUAUACAUACAAUUGGUAGUUUCAAGUUUCUUUAUUUAAAGGGAUGUGACCGUUUUUUCAGAAAGCCUCAACUUGGUGGCAGUACAGUAUCAUUACCAAAAUUUAUUGUGCGUGCUGGUGAUGAUGAAUCCGGCAGCAAUCUUGUGCUGCUACAACCCACAUAUCCUGUUGAGCUGCAGAUAAUUAAACUUGAAAACGUGAAGUCUACAGGAGAGGCACAUAAUGUAAGAUUAAUUGAAAAGAAAAGCCUUCAAGACUUGAAUCUGGAGUGGACUCGAGGUGUUAAGAGAUUUGUGGAUGACAAAAUGUUGCUAGAAAAACUAGUUCCACCAAGCACAUUAAGGAAAUUGGAGAUAUGUGCUUAUAAUGGUAUCAGCUUUCCAUCCUGGCUAGCGGGCCAACUACCAAACCUCCAGUUUCUAGUUCUCAGAGAUAUGGCAAACCUUGAAGAGUGGAACACGUCAUACUCCACUAGUGAGGAGCACGUGUUUCAAAAAGUGGAAAUACAUGGUUGUCCCAUGUUAAGGAUGAAACCGCAUCUGCCUAAAUCAAAAUCCUGGGUGAUAGAACACAGUGAUAAUGUGUUGACAUCAUGGGAUGAAUGCACUGUGUCACACACUAGUGCUUCUUCCUCUUCUUCUCCUGUAACUACUUGGUUGUCGGUUCAAUACUGCAAGGUGCCACUGCAUCAGUGGAGGUUGCUUCGACACUUCCUUGGACUACCUUCUUUGUCAAUUCACAACUGCGGUGAUCUAACCGGCUCACCAGAAAUUACCCAACGUCUAUCCUCUGUGGAGACACUAUGCCUAGGAGACAAACACAUGGAAGAACUACCGAAAUGGUUGGGUGAGCUCAAAUCUCUAGAGAAUCUAGAUAUAAUAAGUGGCGAUGGAGUAGCGGAGUUGAAUGAGAACAUGAGGCAACUCACAAAGCUACAAGCACUAGAACUGAACUUGUGCAACAACAUAACACUGCCGCCUUGGUUAGGCGAAUUAACAUCUCUCAAGGAACUUAACAUAGCUCACAAUGGAGUCUUGAGGUCUUUGCCGGCAAGCAUACAACAACUCACCAGGCUCCAGGAAAUACAAAUUAUUAACUGCCCUGCACUAGAGCACGUGGCUGUUGAAUCAGAGGUCGGAAAGAUGAAGCUCAGUCACAACCAAGAAAGGGUAUGUGUCCUGCCCACCUCUCUCAAGCGACUUAGUAUCAGUUAUUGUAAUGGUAUCAAGUCUUUGCCUCAGGGCAUACAUCAACUCACAAACCUCCAAGAACUAGACAUUUCUAACUGCCAUGGACUAGAGCAGUGGUGUGAAUUAGAGGAGAACAAGAUGAAGCUGGCUCACAUAGAAAAGAAGGAAUUUUACUGGGGUUAG
This 4080-nucleotide ribosomal RNA is filed under the name Triticum aestivum (bread wheat). RNAcentral's name for it is "partial small subunit ribosomal RNA". Lineage: Eukaryota; Viridiplantae; Streptophyta; Magnoliopsida; Poales; Poaceae. The record is from RNAcentral.